This 162-nucleotide ribosomal RNA is filed under the name Buxus harlandii. RNAcentral's name for it is "5.8S ribosomal RNA". It matches the Rfam family "5.8S ribosomal RNA". From Rfam's summary of the family: 5.8S ribosomal RNA (5.8S rRNA) is a component of the large subunit of the eukaryotic ribosome. It is transcribed by RNA polymerase I as part of the 45S precursor that also contains 18S and 28S rRNA. Functionally, it is thought that 5.8S rRNA may be involved in ribosome translocation. Lineage: Eukaryota; Viridiplantae; Streptophyta; Magnoliopsida; Buxales; Buxaceae. The record is from RNAcentral.
CGAACGACUCUUGGCAACGGAUAUUUUGGCUCUUGCAUAGAUGAAGAACGUAGCGAAAUGCGAUACUUGGUGUGAAUUGCAGAAUCCCGUGAACCAUUGAGUCUUUGAACGCAAGUUGCGCCCUAGGCCAUACGGUCGAGGGCACGUCUGCCUGGGCGUCAC